GGGGGCUUCAUUUUUUCAUUCAUGCCUUUUUUUUUGUUUAGGGCCAUUUUUGUUGUGUUCUGUUCGCCUGUUGCAAAGGAUGAGAUGACUGCUGAGCGUGUUUUUGGUGCAUGUCGUGUACGAGACUGCAGAGUGUGUUUGUUUGGGGCGCAUGUCGUGUACGAGACUGCAGAGUGUGUUUGGGGUGCAUGUCGUUUACAAGGCUGCUCCACCGUGCUCAUCUGAAGUGGUCUUCUGAAGAUGCCUUCAACAAACUAAUUAAUGCUAUAAAACUAAAGCUAAUUAAUCCUAUUAAAACUUCAUACAAACUAUCUCCUUUGUGACUGGCUGGAUGUGGCAGUGUUUCAUUGUCAGGUCACCUUCGUGAUCAAAUACGUUCUAGAGCACUGCUGACAUCAUGUGUUAAUUGAACUGAGCUGAAUCUUCAUUCAGGAACAACGGAUUACUGGGUGUCUUAACCACACUCUAAAUAUACAGCAUUUCCUGCUGGGUGAGAGCGAAUAACACCUUGACAUGAUUGAACUUUAUGAACUAAAUUCAGUUGUUUCACUCUAAGGUAUCACUCUAAGGUAUCACUCUGAGGUAUCACUCUAAGGUAUCACUCUAAGGUAUCACUCUAAGGUAUCACUCUUGGUAUCACUCUAAUGUAUCACUCUAAGGUAUCACUCUUGGUAUCACUCUUGGUAUCACUCUAAGGUAUCACUCUAAGGUAUCACUCUUGGUAUCACUCUUGGUAUCACUCUAAGGUAUCACUCUAAGGUAUCACUCUAAGGUAUGACUCUAAGGUAUCACUCUUGGUAUGACUCUAAGGUAUCACUCUAAGGUAUCACUCUAAGGUAUCACUCUUGGUAUCACUCUUGGUAUCACUCUUGGUAUGACUCUAAGGUAUCACUCUAAGGUAUCACUCUAAGGUAUCACUCUUGGUAUGACUCUAAGGUAUCACUCUAAGGUAUCACUCUAAGGUAUCACUCUUGGUAUCACUCUAAGGUAUCACUCUAAGGUAUCACUCUAAGGUAUCACUCUUGGUAUCACUCUAAUGUAUCACUCUAAGGUAUCACUCUUGGUAUCACUCUAAUGUAUCACUCUAAGGUAUGACUCUAAGGUAUCACUCUAAGGUAUCACUCUUGGUAUCACACUAAGGUAUCACUCUAAGGUAUCACUCUUGGUAUCACUCUAAGGUAUGACUCUUGGUAUCACUCUUGGUAUCACUCUAAAAUUAGAGUGCCUCCUGCGUGUGUUGUGUUAUGCCACGUGUUUCCCCGUUUGUUUAUUUCGUCAUGUGCUUGUUGUGUUUGUGUUGUCAGGCCAUGUGCGUUCUGUCAUUGUCCGGAGACUCCGCCCUCUCCUGCCCUCUGCUGCUUCCCGGUUCUUUUUCUCCCUCACCUGUUCCCUAUCAUCACCCUGGUUGUUGGCCUGAUUUGUUUCUCCUGUGUCUUGUUAAUUCCCCUUGUUUGUUUCACCUGUGU
This is a long non-coding RNA of Clupea harengus (Atlantic herring), 1466 nucleotides long. RefSeq lists it as uncharacterized. Lineage: Eukaryota; Metazoa; Chordata; Actinopteri; Clupeiformes; Clupeidae. The transcript is spliced from 3 exons. The record is from RefSeq and is a predicted model, not a curated record.